RNAcentral lists this ribosomal RNA (244 nucleotides) under uncultured Lactobacillus sp. RNAcentral's name for it is "partial 16S ribosomal RNA". It matches the Rfam family "Bacterial small subunit ribosomal RNA", at positions 118 to 354 of the family's 1533-position model. Lineage: Bacteria; Bacillati; Bacillota; Bacilli; Lactobacillales; Lactobacillaceae. The record is from RNAcentral.
UGGGUAACCUGCCCAAGAGAUCGGGAUAACACCUGGAAACAGAUGCUAAUACCGGAUAACAACAGAUGAUGCCUAUCAACUGUUUAAAAGAUGGUUCUGCUAUCACUCUUGGAUGGACCUGCGGUGCAUUAGCUAGUUGGUAGGGUAACGGCCUACCAAGGCGAUGACGCAUAGCCGAGUUGAGAGACUGAUCGGCCACAUUGGGACUGAGACACGGCCCAAACUCCUACGGGAGGCAGCAGAC